UUCUUUUUCUGAAAUUCACAG
This 21-nucleotide non-coding RNA is filed under the name Caenorhabditis elegans. The record is from RNAcentral. Lineage: Eukaryota; Metazoa; Nematoda; Chromadorea; Rhabditida; Rhabditidae.